Molecule: ribosomal RNA, 497 nt
Filed under: uncultured bacterium
Lineage: Bacteria
Description: partial 16S ribosomal RNA
Rfam family: Bacterial small subunit ribosomal RNA
Source: RNAcentral
GAUGAACGCUGGCGGCGUGCCUAAUACAUGCAAGUCGAGCGAACGGACGAGAAGCUUGCUUCUCUGAUGUUAGCGGCGGACGGGUGAGUAACACGUGUAUCCCCUACCUAUAUUACUGGGAUAACUUCGGGAAACCGGAGCUAAUACCGGAUGAUAUUUUGAACCACAUGGUUCAAUAGUGAAAGACGGUCUUGCUGUCUCUUAUAGAUGGAUCCGCGCUGCAUUAGCUAGUUGGUACGGUAACGGCUUACCAAGGCAACGAUGCAUAGCCGACCGGAGAGGGGGAUCGGCCACACUGGAACUGAGACACGGUCCAGACUCCUACGGGAGGCAGCAGUAGGGAAUCUUCCGCAAAGGGCGAAAGCCUGACGGAGCAACGCCGCGUGAGUGAUGAAGGUCUUCGGAUCGUAAAACUCUGUUAUUAGGGAAGAACAUAUGUGUAAGUAACUGUGCACAUCGUGACGGUACCUAAUCAGAAAGCCACGGCUAACUACGUG